RNAcentral lists this unclassified non-coding RNA (385 nucleotides) under soil metagenome. RNAcentral describes it as "partial contains 5.8S ribosomal RNA, internal transcribed spacer 2, and large subunit ribosomal RNA". The stretch from base 1 to 120 matches the Rfam family "5.8S ribosomal RNA", at positions 35 to 154 of the family's 154-position model. The record is from RNAcentral.
GAUGAAGAACUUAGCGAAAUGCGAUAAGUAGUGUGAAUUGCAGAAUUCAGUGAAUCAUCGAAUCUUUGAACGCAUCUUGCGCUCCUUGGUAUUCCGAGGAGCAUGCCUGUUUGAGUGUCAUUAAAUUCUCAACUCUCCUAUACUUUGUUGUAAAGGAGGGCUUGGAUUGUGGAGGCUUGCUGGCCGCUUGAUGUGGUCAGCUCCUCUGAAAUGCAUUAGCAGAACUGUUUGCGAUCUGCCACAAGUGUGAUAAAUUAUCUACACUGGCGAGGGGAUUGCUCUCUGUGUUCAGCUUCUAAUCGUCUUCAGUGACAAUUUCUUGAAUGCUUGACCUCAAAUCAGGUAGGACUACCCGCUGAACUUAAGCAUAUCAAUAAGCGGAGGA